UCCCGUGUUGCUCAAGUUGGUAGAGUAUGACGCUUGCAACGUCAAGGUUGUGGGUUUGAUUCCCACAGGGGGAC
RNAcentral lists this transfer RNA (74 nucleotides) under Salmo salar (Atlantic salmon). It matches the Rfam family "tRNA". Rfam says of the family: Transfer RNA (tRNA) molecules are approximately 80 nucleotides in length. Their secondary structure includes four short double-helical elements and three loops (D, anti-codon, and T loops). Further hydrogen bonds mediate the characteristic L-shaped molecular structure. tRNAs have two regions of fundamental functional importance: the anti-codon, which is responsible for specific mRNA codon recognition, and the 3' end, to which the tRNAs corresponding amino acid is attached (by aminoacyl-tRNA synthetases). tRNAs cope with the degeneracy of the genetic code in two manners: having more than one tRNA (with a specific anti-codon) for a particular amino acid; and 'wobble' base-pairing, i.e. permitting non-standard base-pairing at the 3rd anti-codon position. The record is from Rfam by way of RNAcentral. Lineage: Eukaryota; Metazoa; Chordata; Actinopteri; Salmoniformes; Salmonidae.